CGCCUCUUGCACCCAUAAGAGGUCUAGCCUGCCCAGUGACUUUGUUCAACGGCCGCGGUACACUAACCGUGCAAAGGUAGCAUAAUCACUUGUCUCUUAAAUAGAGACUUGUAUGAACGGCAUCACGAAGAUUUUACUGUCUCCCCUUACCAAUCAGUGAAACUAAUCCCCCUGUGAAAAAGCAGGAAUACAUAUACAAGACGAGAAGACCCUAUGGAGCUUAAAAUUAGUAACACUUGCUUAUUCCCUUUGAAAUUUAACCACUUAGCAUUAUACUUACACAUUUUCGGUUGGGGUGACCCCGGAGAAAAAUCUAACCUCCAUGCUGUAUAUUUAAGAACCUCAGUUCUAAAAAUCAAUAAACUGACACAUUGACCCAAACACUUGAUCAACGAACUAAGUUACCCUAGGGAUAACAGCGCCAUCCACUUCAAGAGUACAUAUCAACAAGUGGGCUUACGACCUCGAUGUUGGAUCAGGAUUCCCCAGUGGUGCAGUCGCUACUAAAGGUUUGUUUGUUCAACAAUUAAAAUCCC
RNAcentral lists this ribosomal RNA (536 nucleotides) under Craugastor bransfordii (Bransford's litter frog). Its description in RNAcentral is "partial 16S ribosomal RNA". It matches the Rfam family "Bacterial large subunit ribosomal RNA", at positions 1817 to 2597 of the family's 2925-position model. Lineage: Eukaryota; Metazoa; Chordata; Amphibia; Anura; Craugastoridae. The record is from RNAcentral.